GCAAAUAUCACACAUGUGCCGACACAGAUAUCGGGGUGCUAACUUUGGUAACAACUUAAGUUUAGUCGAGGUCUGGGGUACGUGGAGGAUUAAC
RNAcentral lists this small RNA (94 nucleotides) under marine eukaryotic metagenome. RNAcentral describes it as "t44 RNA". It matches the Rfam family "t44 RNA", at positions 13 to 95 of the family's 95-position model. Rfam says of the family: This family consists of a number of bacterial RNA genes of between 135 and 170 bases in length. The record is from RNAcentral.